UGGUGGAGUGAUUUGUCUGGUUAAUUCCGUUAACGAACGAGACCUUAACCUGCUAACUAGUCACGCCAACUCGCGUUGGCGGCCGACUUCUUAGAGGGACUGUGGAUGUUCAAUCCACGGAAGUUUGAGGCAAUAACA
RNAcentral lists this ribosomal RNA (138 nucleotides) under uncultured eukaryote. Its description in RNAcentral is "partial 18S ribosomal RNA". It matches the Rfam family "Eukaryotic small subunit ribosomal RNA", at positions 1299 to 1458 of the family's 1831-position model. The record is from RNAcentral.